CUUUUCAGCCAUUUCCAUCUAGGAUUGAAAACAAAAAAAAACCUAAAAACCUAGAACUAACCUAGAGACCUAAAAAAUGAUAGCAGCCGCAGAACCUGGGGGGAACACCUGAAGAUUCUUCUUCUUUGAAGCAAAAACCAAAGACCCUUAGCUUCUUCCUCUACACACCCUAACCUUCAGCACCUUCACAACACACAGACCCUUUAGCCACCCCAUCUCAAAACCGCCAAACCAGCCACAUGACAACUCUAACGUCUCUAGCUAGUAGCUCACCAUCGCCGCUGGACAGACCACCCCUGAAACCAGCUACCCCAAAACACUAGAAGCCACCGAGCUAGACCUCCUUCGUCUCCAUCGCCAGUCAUCUCUCCAAGAACAGCAUAGCAGCAGUCGUCCUUCUCUACCACCCAGCUCGCCGGAGAACAAACAAAGAGAACGAGAGUGAGAGGGAGAGGACAAGGGUGGAGUUCUGAUUGCCAGUUCGAGGUUUGUCGUGGUCGAAUUUGAGUUUGUCGAAUUUCAGUUCGUUGGUUUUAUUGCUGAUUUUCCGUCGCUUAGCAUUUUCAAGCUAUCAAACAAUCAUAUUUCAGAUUUGUUCAAGGUCUAUUUCUCCCUUUACUUUAUUAUUUUGCCUUAGUUUCAUGUAUCUGUGUUGUUGAUCUUUUAGUUAAGUUUUUAUUGUUGUUUGUGGUA
Long non-coding RNA from Nicotiana tabacum (common tobacco), 693 nucleotides. RefSeq lists it as uncharacterized. The record is from RefSeq and is a predicted model, not a curated record. Lineage: Eukaryota; Viridiplantae; Streptophyta; Magnoliopsida; Solanales; Solanaceae.